This 71-nucleotide transfer RNA is filed under the name Camelus bactrianus (Bactrian camel). It matches the Rfam family "tRNA". From Rfam's summary of the family: Transfer RNA (tRNA) molecules are approximately 80 nucleotides in length. Their secondary structure includes four short double-helical elements and three loops (D, anti-codon, and T loops). Lineage: Eukaryota; Metazoa; Chordata; Mammalia; Artiodactyla; Camelidae. The record is from Rfam by way of RNAcentral. RNAcentral also lists the same sequence under 3 other names.
GAGGGUAUAGCUCAGUGGUAGAGCACGUGCUUAGCAUGCAUGGGUCUUGGGUUCAAUCCCCUGUACCUCCA